RNAcentral lists this ribosomal RNA (465 nucleotides) under Vreelandella stevensii. RNAcentral's name for it is "partial 16S ribosomal RNA". It matches the Rfam family "Bacterial small subunit ribosomal RNA", at positions 338 to 795 of the family's 1533-position model. Lineage: Bacteria; Pseudomonadati; Pseudomonadota; Gammaproteobacteria; Oceanospirillales; Halomonadaceae. The record is from RNAcentral.
CCUACGGGGGGCUGCAGUGGGGAAUAUUGGACAAUGGGGGCAACCCUGAUCCAGCCAUGCCGCGUGUGUGAAGAAGGCCCUCGGGUUGUAAAGCACUUUCAGUGAGGAAGAACGCCUGGUGGUUAAGACCCAUCAGGAAAGACAUCACUCACAGAAGAAGCACCGGCUAACUCCGUGCCAGCAGCCGCGGUAAUACGGAGGGUGCGAGCGUUAAUCGGAAUUACUGGGCGUAAAGCGCGCGUAGGUGGCUUGAUAAGCCGGUUGUGAAAGCCCCGGGCUCAAACUGGGAACGGCAUCCGGAACUGUCAAGCUAGAGUGCAGGAGAGGAAGGUAGAAUUCCCGGUGUAGCGGUGAAAUGCGUAGAGAUCGGGAGGAAUACCAGUGGCGAAGGCGGCCUUCUGGACUGACACUGACACUGAGGUGCGAAAGCGUGGGUAGCAAACAGGAUUAGAUACCCUUGUAGUC